This 75-nucleotide transfer RNA is filed under the name Paenibacillus ferrarius. Its description in RNAcentral is "tRNA-His". It matches the Rfam family "tRNA". From Rfam's summary of the family: Transfer RNA (tRNA) molecules are approximately 80 nucleotides in length. RNAcentral also lists the same sequence under 4 other names. The record is from RNAcentral. Lineage: Bacteria; Bacillati; Bacillota; Bacilli; Caryophanales; Paenibacillaceae.
GCGGUCGUGGCGAAGGGGUUAACGCACUGGUUUGUGGAUCCAGCAUUCGCGGGUUCAAGUCCCGUCGUCCGCCCA